RNAcentral lists this ribosomal RNA (750 nucleotides) under uncultured bacterium. RNAcentral's name for it is "bacterial SSU rRNA". It matches the Rfam family "Bacterial small subunit ribosomal RNA", at positions 28 to 776 of the family's 1533-position model. The record is from RNAcentral.
GACGAACGCUGGCGGCGUGCUUAACACAUGCAAGUCGAACGGAACUUCUUGGAUAGAGGCUUCGGCCAAUUGAAUUGAAGUUUAGUGGCGGACUGGUGAGUAACGCGUGAGGAACCUGCCUUUCAGAGGGGGACAACAGUUGGAAACGACUGCUAAUACCGCAUGACACAUUUGGGUCGCAUGGCUCGGAUGUCAAAGAUUUUAUCGCUGAAAGAUGGCCUCGCGUCUGAUUAGCUAGUUGGUGGGGUAACGGCCCACCAAGGCGACGAUCAGUAGCCGGACUGAGAGGUUGACCGGCCACAUUGGGACUGAGAUACGGCCCAGACUCCUACGGGAGGCAGCAGUGGGGAAUAUUGGGCAAUGGACGCAAGUCUGACCCAGCAACGCCGCGUGAAGGAAGAAGGCUUUCGGGUUGUAAACUUCUUUUAAGGGGGAAGAGCAGAAGACGGUACCCCUUGAAUAAGCCCCGGCUAACUACGUGCCAGCAGCCGCGGUAAUACGUAGGGGGCAAGCGUUAUCCGGAUUUACUGGGUGUAAAGGGAGCGUAGACGGUCAAGCAAGUCAGAAGUGAAAGGCUGGGGCUCAACCCCGGGACUGCUUUUGAAACUGUUUGACUGGAGUGCUGGAGAGGUAAGCGGAAUUCCUAGUGUAGCGGUGAAAUGCGUAGAUAUUAGGAGGAACACCAGUGGCGAAGGCGGCUUACUGGACAGUAACUGACGUUGAGGCUCGAAAGCGUGGGGAGCAAACAGG